UACGAGGGGGGCAAGUGUUGUUCGGAAUUACUGGGCGUAAAGGGAGCGUAGGCGGAAGUUUAAGUUGGGUGUUUAAAACCGGGGGCCAACCCCGGAGCGGCACCCAAAACUGGACUUCUUGAAUGGGACAGAGGCUGGUGGAAUUGGGGGUGUAGCGGUGGAAUGCGUAGAGAUCCCCAAGAACACCAAUUGCGAAGGCAGCCAGCUGGGUCCACAUUGACGCUGAGGCUCGAAAGCAUGGGGAGCAAACAGG
RNAcentral lists this ribosomal RNA (253 nucleotides) under uncultured bacterium. RNAcentral's name for it is "partial 16S ribosomal RNA". It matches the Rfam family "Bacterial small subunit ribosomal RNA", at positions 524 to 776 of the family's 1533-position model. The record is from RNAcentral.